UGGUGUAAUGGUAAGCACCCUGGACUCUGAAUCCAGCAAUCAGAGUUCCAGUCUCAG
RNAcentral lists this transfer RNA (57 nucleotides) under Macaca fascicularis (crab-eating macaque). It matches the Rfam family "tRNA", at positions 8 to 63 of the family's 71-position model. From Rfam's summary of the family: Transfer RNA (tRNA) molecules are approximately 80 nucleotides in length. Their secondary structure includes four short double-helical elements and three loops (D, anti-codon, and T loops). Further hydrogen bonds mediate the characteristic L-shaped molecular structure. tRNAs have two regions of fundamental functional importance: the anti-codon, which is responsible for specific mRNA codon recognition, and the 3' end, to which the tRNAs corresponding amino acid is attached (by aminoacyl-tRNA synthetases). tRNAs cope with the degeneracy of the genetic code in two manners: having more than one tRNA (with a specific anti-codon) for a particular amino acid; and 'wobble' base-pairing, i.e. permitting non-standard base-pairing at the 3rd anti-codon position. The record is from Rfam by way of RNAcentral. RNAcentral also lists the same sequence under 2 other names. Lineage: Eukaryota; Metazoa; Chordata; Mammalia; Primates; Cercopithecidae.